RNAcentral lists this ribosomal RNA (305 nucleotides) under uncultured bacterium. Its description in RNAcentral is "bacterial SSU rRNA". It matches the Rfam family "Bacterial small subunit ribosomal RNA", at positions 334 to 637 of the family's 1533-position model. The record is from RNAcentral.
AUCUCCUACGGGGGGCAGCAGUGAGGAAUAUUGGUCAAUGGUCGGGAGACUGAACCAGCCAAGCCGCGUGAGGGAGGAAGGUACAGAGUAUCGUAAACCUCUUUUGUCAGGGAACAAAGACUGGGACGCGUCCCCGGAUGAGUGUACCUGAAGAAAAAGCAUCGGCUAACUCCGUGCCAGCAGCCGCGGUAAUACGGAGGAUGCGAGCGUUAUCCGGAUUGAUUGGGUUUAAAGGGUGCGCAGGCGGCCUGUUAAGUCAGCGGUAAAAGCCCGGGGCUCAACCCCGGCGAGCCGUUGAAACUGGG